AACUUGUUGCAAACCACAAGUCUGCACGAAACAUUUACUCAAGCAUUGCAAGAGAAGUAUUAGUUGUCCUCCAUUAAGAGGCACGCACUCCCACACACACUGAAAGAUGUCUUAAUGCCUUUUCUUCAUUUCUACUACUCAUUUAAUCACAAGCAGAAAAGGCAGUGACAUUAAUAUUACUGUUACGCUUGGGAUGCCAGUUGUACAACUGAUAGUUCAACAGCAAAGUUUAGUGCCCUUCUAAGUACUUCAGAAGAAAAAAAAGAGCCCUUCUUGCUUUCUGAAACCUAAUGGAUUGAAGAGCUACAAGAAGGAAUUCCCAUCUAAAUGCAAAUCAAGGCAACCCCAUCUUGAAUGCACCAGUAGUUACAAAAGGUCUGCUUCCGUGAAUGUGGGUCUUCUCCCUCUGCUUUGCCACAUCACUACAUCUGUGUGUGCCCGGCGUUCUUAACAGGAUUGGCGGGGCAUGGAAUAAAUAUGGAUUUACAGUGCUUUAUUUUGGCUACUAAAUAUCCUCCUGUUGCAGCUGCUCUGUUAUCCUCAUCCUUGAUAAUAACUACAAUAUUAAUGUAACCUGCUAACUGAUCAGAAAGUUGAGUCAAAUCGCACCUGUAAUUACACCUAUGAGUUUCUUUUUAGCUUUACUGGGGUUGCUUGGUAUACUAACAAGCACCACGGCCUGGUAUGGAUAACAGAAGCAGCCACCAUCAUCACUAUGUGGCAGCAGGUUCAGCGCCAGGAAGGAGGAAUCUCGAGAUGAAACAAAAGGCAUACUACUACUCAGUUUUUAUUUGAGUUCCAUUAAUGACAGAAUUAGGGUUGGUCUACAUGCAGACACUCAAGAAAGACAAAUCAACUAUACAUAUGGAUAAUGCACCAGGUUCACACUUUUAGUUGAUUUGCUUUCUCUCUCCUGAGUAUUAUACACAAUGAUUGAUCUUACUCCUAAAGUCAAAAGGAAUUUUGCUACUGACUUUUAUGGGGGAAAAGGACCUAUUCUCAUUACAGUCUCCUCUGAUCUAACUCCAGUAAUACCAAGCACUUAAAAUUCCAUCAUGGGUGAAAUGUCUUUACAGCAUUGUGCCACUGAACUAACCACAACACUUCCAUUCUGGAUAAGAAAAUGUUGACAAGAGAAAUCUACCUUUGAUUUCAGUGACAGAAGACGAAACACUUGAAAAUGUCAUUCCAAAGGAAGUAAAAGUCUGUGGCAUAGAAAAGCACUCCCUAUGCCACCAAUGCACCCUGUUAGAAAAGGAAGCUGGACUGGGUUUCCGUAACCUUUAUUCACUCACUACAUAUUCAAUCCAGCUACCCUUGUGCAGCUCAGAUAAGAAAAAGCAGAAAUUAGAAUCAAGAAUUUCCUAGUUUUUCAAAUAGGAAUGUUCUGAAUAAGCCUAUUGAGUUAGACCGCUUUGUGGACGGCAUUCAUUCAAACCCCUGAUUACACACAUAAAAUAACAGGUAGGAUUCUGAAUCAAUAUUAUCAGCAUGAAAGAAACGAUUACCUAGACACCUUAACAACUUCUAGUUUUGCUGUCCUGCUCUUUUGAACCAGGCUGACCUGCAAUGAUUAUAUAUUUGGGAGGAAAGAGUUGGAAUUUAGCUUGUUAAGAAUAUUGACGUUACAAUAAAGCGCACAAUUCUGCAGAUG
Long non-coding RNA from Alligator mississippiensis (American alligator), 1654 nucleotides. RefSeq lists it as uncharacterized. The transcript has 2 exons. The record is from RefSeq and is a predicted model, not a curated record. Lineage: Eukaryota; Metazoa; Chordata; Crocodylia; Alligatoridae.